RNAcentral lists this ribosomal RNA (387 nucleotides) under uncultured bacterium. Its description in RNAcentral is "bacterial SSU rRNA". It matches the Rfam family "Bacterial small subunit ribosomal RNA", at positions 958 to 1342 of the family's 1533-position model. The record is from RNAcentral.
AACGCGAAGAACCUUACCUMGCCUUGACAUUGAUAGAACGGACCAGAGAUGGACCGGUGCCCUUCGGGGAACUUGAAAACAGGUGCUGCACGGCUGUCGUCAGCUCGUGUCGUGAGAUGUUGGGUUAAGUCCCGCAACGAGCGCAACCCUCGUCCUUAGUUGCCAGCAGGUUAAGCUGGGCACUCUAAGGAGACUGCCUUYGCAAGGAGGAGGAAGGUGAGGANGACGUCAAGUCAUCAUGGCCCUUACGGCUAGGGCUACACACGUGCUACAAUGGGGCGUACAGAGAGUUGCGAUACCGCGAGGUGGAGCCAAUCUCAUAAAGCGUCUUUCAGUUCGGAUUGGAGUUUGCAACUUGACUUCCGUGAGGCUGGAAACACUAGAAUU